Long non-coding RNA from Pogonomyrmex barbatus (red harvester ant), 721 nucleotides. NCBI's taxonomy places the organism in Eukaryota, Metazoa, Arthropoda, Insecta, Hymenoptera, Formicidae. The record is from RefSeq and is a predicted model, not a curated record.
CCUGCACGUGGUAUCAACCUACGCCGUGCGACAUGGAGCCAUGAAAAUUUUUACUUCCUUCGUGGUAACGUGACAUUACCGUCGACGCUGAAUUGCAACGUACGUUGCGUUCAAGAAAAUGGCGUGACAUAUCGUGCGCGACUUAGGAAAGGUAAAAGGACGCAAAAUGAUAGGCGUUUGAGAACGUAGGUGAACUAUGAGAAAAGAUAAUCGUCGUCAAGAGUUGCGAGAAAAAGGUUUGUGGCUGCCACAUCUUCAAAGAGGUAGCGAAGCAGAUUGCGAAUGACGUCCGACAUACGUGAGUGUGUUUGCGUAUGAGAAAGGCGAAGGGUCGACUCGUAAUUUCUCGGACUGGUUAGUGGAAGAGUCUCGCAUAGAACAGCCGGAUAGCUCGUGUCGCGGAGAACGCGUGGAUAUACGGAAUGGUAUUGAUCCACGUAUUAAAUAUUUAAUCGCAGGAGGAAGUUCAAUACACGGACGAGGACGGUUGUCUUUUGAAGACAGGUUGAACAAAUGAAAGCGAACAUACAACCGGAACGAGGUAGCACGCAAUUCUACCCUGUCCAUUCGGCAUUCGUCAAGACAUCAAGGCGUUCGGAUGGAUUUUCAUUAUUUAAAACGCUUGGCAAAAAGUUCCGAUCGUUGACGUGUUGCCUCUAUCGAUCGUAGUUUGCAAACUUACUCAAGUAAUCUAAGAUAUUGUGUUGAUUUAAAAAAAAAA